GAGAGUAUAGCUCAAGUGGUAGAGUGCAUGCCUAGUAUGCAAGAGGUCCUGGGUUCAGUCCCCAGUACCUCCU
RNAcentral lists this transfer RNA (73 nucleotides) under Camelus bactrianus (Bactrian camel). It matches the Rfam family "tRNA". From Rfam's summary of the family: Transfer RNA (tRNA) molecules are approximately 80 nucleotides in length. RNAcentral also lists the same sequence under 2 other names. The record is from Rfam by way of RNAcentral. Lineage: Eukaryota; Metazoa; Chordata; Mammalia; Artiodactyla; Camelidae.